GCUUCCAUAGCUCAGUCAGGUAGAGCACUUCCAUGGUAAGGAAGAGGUCACCGGUUCGAGCCCGGUUGGAAGCUCCA
This 77-nucleotide transfer RNA is filed under the name Bacillus mesophilus. RNAcentral's name for it is "tRNA-Thr". It matches the Rfam family "tRNA". Rfam says of the family: Transfer RNA (tRNA) molecules are approximately 80 nucleotides in length. Their secondary structure includes four short double-helical elements and three loops (D, anti-codon, and T loops). The record is from RNAcentral. RNAcentral also lists the same sequence under 1 other name. Lineage: Bacteria; Bacillati; Bacillota; Bacilli; Caryophanales; Bacillaceae.